CCAUUCAUUAAAGUUUGGGCACUUUAAGGAAACUGCCGGUGAUAAGCCGGAGGAAGGUGGGGAUGACGUCGAGUCCUCAUGGCCCUUACAGGCUGGGCUACACACGUGCUACAAUGGCAUCUACAGUGGGCAGCUAUUCCGCAAGGAUGCGCUAAUCUCCAAAAGAUGUCUCAGUUCGGAUUGUCCUCUGCAACUCGAGGGCAUGAAGGCGGAAUCGCUAGUAAUCGCGGAUCAGCAUGCCGCGGUGAAUACGUUCCCAGGCCUU
This 265-nucleotide ribosomal RNA is filed under the name uncultured Porphyrobacter sp. Its description in RNAcentral is "partial 16S ribosomal RNA". It matches the Rfam family "Bacterial small subunit ribosomal RNA", at positions 1118 to 1382 of the family's 1533-position model. Lineage: Bacteria; Pseudomonadati; Pseudomonadota; Alphaproteobacteria; Sphingomonadales; Erythrobacteraceae. The record is from RNAcentral.